RNAcentral lists this long non-coding RNA (2948 nucleotides) under Hordeum vulgare. RNAcentral describes it as "long non-coding RNA (HVUL_LNC005108)". The record is from RNAcentral. Lineage: Eukaryota; Viridiplantae; Streptophyta; Magnoliopsida; Poales; Poaceae.
AGACCCCCUGCCAUCCCUCUGGAGCUCCCAUAGCAAGCAAUCGACCGGGGGCCUUCAUCCUCCCCAUCUUAGGCGACUUCGACCGCCAUCGCGUUUCGGUCAAAUUCGGCCAAGCCGAAGCCACCUAGCCCCACUCGAGCCGCCCCUCGACUCCCCUCGACCCCGCAAAGGUUUCUCCCCUCGAAUCCUAGCCCGGGAGCUUUCGUAGAGAGAGACCCCAGACACCUAGAAACCAUAGUCCGUUGGUAGCCUUGCCGCCGGCCGAUCCCUCCACCUCCCCACACCUGGCUACCACCGGGAGGACCAGCAGCUGGCCGGGGAACCCAUUCCCGCCCUCAGACGGACCCUAGGAGCCUCCGUCCGCUGACGAGAACCGUCGGAGCCCUGCCUCCGCUCGGCCACAAGAAAGAGGCAUGUGCGACUGGUCAAACCUAACAAGUGGGCCCGAUGGACCCAUUGUCAGUGACCCCAUGGUUCCGCCGAAGCGCUUAAGUGGAAGUGUAAAGCCCCGGGGUAUGUUUUCUCUGUUAGGGUACGUAUUGGCCUCCGAAUCGUUUUUCUUUUCUGAUUUGUUAAAAAAAAUAGGAGUUUGACUGAGUUUUGAGUGGCCAUAACUUAUAAAAUAAAAGUCCAAUUGAUUUGAUUCUUUUUCCCACCUCUUUUAAAAUCCAUCUAGUUUAUUUAAAUAUUUAUUUCAAAAAUAUUUUGACAACUUUUCUGUACUAUUUUGGAAAUGUGUGUUGAUUUGAAUAUUUUCAGGAAUAGGGAUUUGAAGACAGGGUAAAAACUUUCCGAAAGUUUUGUUGUGCACCUCACCUACCUACACACUCAAGGCAAGCAUUCUGAAUUUGGGUAUAAUAUUGUUGUAUGUGAUUUGCUUCAUGAAGAAAACAUUAUUGUUAUGUUGAAUAAGUUUGAUGGUAUUUCAUGUGGUGGUAUAACCAUGCACAUGGGUACAUGGCGAGAAAAUAUACCUGUUACGUAUGUGAUGCUUGUGAGAGUAGCCACUCCCUUCUGCCACACAUGCCUUCCGGAUGGGAUCCGAGAAGAGUAGGUGUCUUGGAAAGACACGACCUUGGGGACUGACAUCUCAUGGGAGGAGGAUGGUCGGCGAGGCAUGUUGGGGUAUGAGAGGUGGUGAUUCUGUCCAGAAUCGUGAAAUAAUUCUGUUGUGCUAAUCAUUGCAUGGAACAAUAUAAACCUCCUUAGUCCAUCGUAGAUCGAGUCUUGGUCCAGCAACCUCCCUUACUUUUUUCGUACUACCGCUUGUCCGUGUCGAAAGCAGGGUACGGUUGAGUAAGUUGUCAACCCCUUUCUUGGCACACACCGUACAGGAGAGGCCAUAGUGAAAGAUACCAGUGGCCCCUCGUAGACAUGUCACUUGGUCUAGGGACAUGCGUGUUUCGGUCUGAGAUCAAAGGGGUUAGCUCCCCCGUGUGCGCGCGACCCCAGGCAUCAGGAAGUAGGAACUCGUGUGUAAAGGUUAGGUGUGUUUUCAACUCAAAGACCGUAAUCGGAAUUAGUCAACAUCUCUGGUUGACUAGAGAAAUCCGUUACUCGUGGGUAAAGAGUACACCCUCUGCAGAGUUUUACACCUAUUCGGAAGGCCUUGUCCGUGGUUAAGGGAUACAGUUUGCGAUAGGUCAAGUGUCGGUAUGAGUAUCGGUCUUCGGAGGAUGUUAACAAAAUCGUGAGACUAAUCAUGAAAUAUGGUGGAUGAUCAUAGCUAUUAUUUUACUAUGGACUAACCUUUAUGAUUAUGAAUGUUGAUUAUCCCUAGGACGGUUCUACCUCCUAGAUAUUCAUUGUUGUUAUUUCAUAUGAGUCAUGUAUGUGGUAUCGCCCAGAUGCCCAACUGUGGCAUGAUUAUUACUAUUUCAUAUAAGCCCAUUAUGUGGUAUCGCUCAAACGCCCGACUGUGGCAUGCUUAAUAUUAUUUCAUAUAAGCCCUUUAUGUGGUGUCGCUCAGACACCCGACUGUGGCAUGUUUGUUAUUACUUCACAUAAACCCUUUAAGUGAUGUCACUCAGACGCCCGACUAUGGCAUGUUUGUUAUUAUUUAUUAUAAGCCAUUUAUGUGGUGUCGCUAAGACGCCCGACUGAGGCAUAUCACGUAUCUUUUCUGUUAACUUUCUUCUCAUUGAAUGCUUAUUGAACUCUUAGUAUGGUUAAUUUACAUGAUCACUAGUGCUUGAGAGUUUGAAUUAUGAUUGAAGUAAUAUCGUUGAAUUAUUGCAAGUGCAUAUUAACCACGUGCUAUUUUAUGCAUGCUUUCAUGAUGUUUGUGAGUACAUUCAAAGUACUCAAUGGCUUGUCCCUGGCUAUUGUCUUGCCUGAUUGCGUGCUUGGAGAGGAGGAUCCCGAUGAUAGCCCCGGAACCUAGGCACCGAAGACAGUAGCCGCGUGAGAUAGGAAUUGUCCAAGGUGAGCUAUUCCUGUGGGAAAUGGAGUCCCAUAGACGCUAGAAAUCCCCGAACCGCUUUCGCCAUCAACCAGUAGAAACCUUUUCUAUGUACUCCAUAGGCCAUCUUGGUCUUGUACCUCAUAUUUGUAUUUUCUUUACUUGGAUAUUUGUAUCAUGGAUUUAUGUACCAGCUAACCGUAUUCCUGGGGUUUGUAUGCACAAGGGUCAUUUGAUGGGAAAUUAAAAUCCCCGAAAAUCCGGUCCUCACACGCCCACGUGGCUCCGUUUGGCGUGAUUCCAACACCGAAAAUCCUAUAUACACCAGAAACCCCAGAAGUAAAAAAAGAGAACAUCCGCUCCGCCGUCACAACCCUCUGUAUCGACGAAAAACCAAUCUAGAGAUCUUCGAGUACCCUGCUAAAGAGGGGAAUCAUCUCUGGUGGCCAUCUUCAUCAUCUUGGCGGAGGCCAUGACGAGGAGGGAGUAGUUCACCCUCGGGGCUGAGGUUUUGUACCAGUAGCUAUGUGUUUAAUCUCCCUCUCUC